This 253-nucleotide ribosomal RNA is filed under the name uncultured bacterium. Its description in RNAcentral is "partial 16S ribosomal RNA". It matches the Rfam family "Bacterial small subunit ribosomal RNA", at positions 524 to 776 of the family's 1533-position model. The record is from RNAcentral.
UACAGAGGUCCCAAGCGUUGUUCGGAAUUACUGGGCGUAAAGCGUGUGUAGGCGGCAAGGCAAGUCGGAUGUGAAAUCCCGUGGCUCAACCAUGGACGUGCACUCGAAACUGCCUAGCUAGAGUCUCGGAGAGGAGGGUGGAAUGCUUGGUGUAGAGGUGAAAUUCGUAGAUAUCGAGAGGAACACCGGUGGCGAAGGCGGCCUUCUGGACAGUGACUGACGCUGAGACGCGAAAGCGUGGGGAGCAAACAGG